GGGAGCCUGGUGAGGUUCAGAGAAGGCUUCUCCGUGGUGGAACGCAGCAGCGAUAUCCUGGAGGAUCCAACAUGGUAAGUUCUGUAAGGCAGGAACCAAGGGGAGGGAGAGGCAUUCGCCUCACCAAAGCCAAGGAAGAAUCUACCAGGUAAUCACAUUUGAUUAUACCAUGCGGGCGAUGGGGCUGGCAGACACGGGGCGUCAGGAGAUGUGACAAGAGACCAGGCUGGAAGGCUAAGAAGGGACUCUUUGUCAUGCUCCGGAGUUUCUUCUUUAUUCCAAAGGCAAUGAGAGGGAACGAGAGCUUUUUGUCCUGGGUGCGGCUAACCGGAUUUCCCCCAAAGUGGAACUGUCCAUAGUCCACCCCCCCCCCACCCCCGCCAACAGCCCCACUUCCCUUGGUCCCUGAGCAGCAAUUGAUUGGAGGAUGGCGGGGAGGGGAGACAUUUGGCCCAAGGAUUCCUGAUUGUAGGUUGGCUUACCAGUGGGCGGAAGGACACCUGCCCCUGGGAGUCUGAGCCGGGAGUGCCUUGAGGCCCUGAAUGGUCAGACCGGGUGAGGAACAGCUGGGCCAGGCUGAGUUUGUGAGGGGACAUUCUGGGUUACAAGCCCCAAAUACAUGCCCUCUGUCCCCCAUCUCCCCGGGUCUGGGUGACGGGCGGCUCUUGUUUCAGAUUCCCAUGGUAAUCCGUUUUUCUUAUGAACUCUCCUCGAAUCAAAAUGACUUGAUAUCCCAGAAGAGGUUCACUGAAGGAUGUUAGAAUGUUUCUUUUUUGUUUCCUUAAUGUUUAUUGAUUUUGAAGAGAGGCUCUGUGCAAGUGGGGGAGGACAGACAGAGAGGGAGAGAGAGCAUCCCAAGCAGGCUCCACACUGUCAAGCCCAGUGCGGGGCUUGAACUCAGGAACCGUGAGGUCGUGAUCUGAGCCGAAACCAAGAAUCUGACACUGAACCGACAGAGCCACCCCAGGGCGCCUGAAGGAUGUUUCUUAAGUCUGGUUUAUUGAGAUUUACUUUACCUUCAGAAAAAAAUCACAUUUUAUGGGGUUUGGGCAAGGUAUACAAUUGUGUCACCACGACGUCAGUGAAGAUACAGACCUGUGUCGUUGCCCAAAAGCUUCCCUCUUGGCCCUGCGGCCCCCGCCCCAGUCCUGGCAACCUCUCUCUUCUACUUUAUGGCUCCCAGUUUUGCCUUUUUGAGAUUGUCAUAUGGAUGAAAUCACAUGGUAGGUGGCCUUUUCUGCCCGGCUUUUCUCACCUAGUGUAAUGCAUUUGGGAUUCACCUAUGUCAGUUCAUGAGUCAACAGCUGUUCCUUUUUAAAUGCUGCAUAUGACGCAUGGAUGCCUGUGCCUCGAUGUGUUCAUCCACUCACUGGCUGAUGAAAAUUUGGGCAAGUCCCAGUUUGGGACAAUUAUGAAUAAAACGGCCACCCGGGUUUUUCUGGGGACGUCAGUUUUCAUUUCUCUUGGGUAAAUAAUAGAAGCGAGAUUGCUGGGUCGUAUGAUAUGUAUUUGACUUUAUAAAAGCCCACCAAGGGGCGCCUGGGUGGCUCAGUCGGUUCAGUAUCCGGCUCUUGAUUACGGCUCAGGUCGUGAUCUCACAGUUUGUGAGAUUGAGCCCUGUGUCUGGCUCUGCACUGAGCCUGCUUGGGAUUCUCUCUCUCCCCCCCCCUCUCUGUACCUCCCCCUCCCUCAUAAUAAAUGAAUAAACAUGAAAUAAUAAUAAUAAAAAAGAACCCGCCACACUGUUUUCAAAGUGAUCGAAGCCAUUUGCACCUGCACCAAAAAUGUCUGAGCAUUCCAGUUCCUCCCUAUCUUGAUCGAUACGUGGUAUCGUCAGGCCUUUGACUUUCAGGCAUUUCACUUGGUGCGUGAGGGUAUGUCAUUCUGAUUUUAAUUUGCAUUCUCCUCAUGGCAAAUAGUGUGAGCCUUUGCAAGCACCUCCUGGGGCUUUUUCUGAGGCAUCUCCAUCGUAACUGAAAGAAUGUUGUGCUCCUUAGGGUGAUUUGGGCUGCGGGGAACAGAGCAGGGCUCACCACCCCCCUCCCUCCCUGCCAUCAUCCAGGACCUCGGCACCUCCCACCCUGCCCUCGGCCACUCCCACUGCCGGCUCUGCCCUAUAACUGUCCCCCUCCCCCCCCCGUGCUGUAGAGGUCACAGUGCAUACGUAGCCCCAGGUAUCGCUUCCCCGUAUAGCUGCAUCUGAAGGCAGAAAGGAAACAUUCCUCCUUUCUAUAAGGUUCCUCAUUCUACAAGGCUCCAGAUUUCUUCUCACAUCUCAGUGGUCAAAAAUGGUCUCGGGCCCAAGCCCUGGCAGCACCUGGCGCCUUUAACCUCUCUCUUGCGGGGUACAGGGUCAGUCAGCAAGAGAGGAGGCUCAAGAGAAAGGUGGUUGGUAAAUGAAUGACCAGCAGCCUCUGGCCAAAAGCAUGUAGCCUUUAUGGCAGUGAAAAGCCAAGACCCCCACCUCCUUUAAAAGUGGCUUCCUGGGGCUCCUGGAUGGCUCAGUCGGUUGAACAUCCAACUUUGGCUCAGAUCAUGAUCUCACGGUUCGUGGGUUCCAGCACCACAUCGGGCUCUGUGCCACAGCUCGGAGACUGGAGCCUGCUUUGGAUUCUGUGUCUCCCUCUCUCUGCCCGUGCCCUGCUCGUGCUCUCUCCUAUCUCUCUCUCUCUUUCAAAAAUAAAUAAACAUUAAAAAAACAGUGGCUUCCUGUGGCACCUGGAUGGCUCAGUCGGUUGAACAACCGACUUUGGCUCAGCUCAUGAUCUUUCGGCUUGUGAGUUCGAGCCCUGCAUUGGGCUGGCUGCUAUCAGCACAGAGCUGGCUUCAUAUCCUCUGUGUCCAUCACUCUCUGCCCCUCCCCUGUUUGUGCUCUCUAUCAAAAAAUAAGCAAACAUUAUAUAUAUAUAUAUAUAUAUAUAUACAUUUAUGUAUAUAUUCCGAGUGCAUGCAAUUCUGAAUCCCAAGGUACGCAAACCCAGUUAUGCCUCUAAACCAUGGGCUCCUUUUCAGCCACUUAAAAAAUAGUCAAGCCAGCCCUUAAACUCAAUUAGAAGUUAAUCACCCACUCAUAGCAUACCAACUCUACUUAAUGAAAUAUAUUUCCAAGCCCAACACGCUUGAUGGUUUUAAUAACCAACAUUCCAGAGCUAAAAGGGGAAUCCAAAAUAAGAACAAAACUAUUUAAUGGGCGAAACGUAUCGAGAGCGACUGAAGAUUUAGUAUGAGCACAACUUCCACGGUGCACGCGAAAGCUAGCGAAGGCUUGUUUUCAAGGCAGCAUGGCAAAGUCAACGUUUGAAUCGCUACACUGAGAAGCUGCUGCAGUUAGCAUACGUUCUUUAAGAGGAUUAAUCUGCCUGCACGUCGUCCUGUGAGGCUACACAGAAAAAGAACAGCUAAUCCCGGGGACGCACUGGAGGGAUCCCACAGCCAGCGCUCGAGGUGGCCAGAAACCCCGUGCACGGGGAGGCCGGGGGAGCCAGUGCCCCAUCCAUCCUGGGGCCCCCAGUGCUCCUGCUCCACAAGUCUGUUUCACCAUAAUGUGCAGAGUUUAUAACCCAGAGCAGUUGUUAUUUAGCACACACGGCGACUGAUGGGGUGAAGAUCUGGGACAGGUUUCUCCAGGAGAGAGUUUUUUCCUUUGUUCUCCUUACUUUUAGUUCUAUCUCUUCUCCCUCUUUCUUUCACUCCUUCACCCUCCAAACGAGCCCUAGUUCUUUUUAUUUUAUUUUUUAUAUUUAUUGUUUUGGGGGGGAGAGGAGGGGCAGGAGGAGGGGCAGGGGGGCAGAGGGAGUGGAGGCAGUGGAUGUGAAGCGGGCUCUGAGCUAAGGGCUGUCAGCACAGAGCCCGACAUGGGGCUCGAACUCAUGCAUCACGAGAUCAUGACCUGAGCUGAAGUCGGACGCUCAACUGACUGAGCCACCCAGGCGCCCCAACAAGUCCCAUUUCUUCAGCACAUGCCUCACUGUCGGCAGGUGAUAGCCGUACGUCCAGUCAUACACGGUACCAGGCACUCUGUGUACAUGUCACAGUUAAUCCCAUCAACCCGUUUUGAGGCAAACGUGAUGGUCUCAAUCUCAUACUCAAGGAGGCUGGCUCAGAAACGCCCCGUGACUUCCCAAGGUCACUUAACCACGGGAGCUGGGAUUCGAAGCCACGUUUCUCUGACCCGAGUCCCAUCGUCUCCCACUCUCGGCUCCACUGUGGUUUCUCGUCAGUGUGUUAUUUUCCGUGUAACCGGCUAUUUACGGGUGUGACCGAAUAGGAUUUCUUUUGUGCAAGAUCCCGCGAUUAGAUUUCAACACUGUGGACUUCUACGUCUUUACGGAAGGGGUUUUCCUUUGUUUUAGGAUCAGAAGAUGUGAUGUCAUUUCUGGUUGGGCACGUGUCCCUGAAUCCAGUGUGGAAGAAGACAUUAAGUGCUCUAUUUUAGUUAGAGAUUUUAAGCCCCCCCCUCAAAUCCCCCUGCUUUGAAGGGGUUUCGGGGAGGCGGCUGGGAUGCUAGCUUGAGAAUUCUGACACAUCUGGAGACCGGACACACCCACAGGAUGGGCAGACCCAGAAAUAGGCAAAGGACGGGUGGUUCAAUCACUUACACGUCUGGCUCUUGGUUUCUGCUCAGGUCACUACCUCACGGAUUCAUGAGUUCAAAGGCUGUGCUGUCUUGUGCUCUGUGCCGGCAGGGUGGAGCCUGCUCGCAAUUUUCUCUCUCUCCUUCCCCCACUCGCGCUGCCCCUCCCCCACUCGCGCUGUCUCUGUCUCUCUCAAAUAAAGAACAAAAAAAAGGAAGAAAGAAGGAAGAGAAAUAUGCAAGGAAGGAGCCACCCCUGGAGAGGGGGGUCUGGGUCAGAGCAAACUCCAUAUAUCCGAAAAGCCCACAAGAGGUCGGAGCCUUGCAAGCCGGUGACCCUCCUGGAGAUGGAGCGUCAGGUGACAGCCGAGCGUCUGUCACAGGGCAAGUGGAUGGAGGUGGCUGCCAGGUAUAGCCAGGGAAGGAUGCCCAGAGCAGGCACCCAGUACUCGGGCGAGGAUGAGACAGGGCUUCGGUCCAGAAGGAAGUGGGUCAGGAGGUCAAGGUCUGUGCGCCAUCAAGGAGGACACCCACCCCGUGGCUCGAACUGGGACGCGAGUCUACGCAGAACGUCCAUCUGGGGCACCUCCGUGAGACCUCUCCCGCCCAGGUUUCCCUUAGGACAAGACCCCAAAGGCCCAGCUUCUGCGGGGAGGAAUAAGGGCAGGAAAUCACGCAGCUCUGAGAGCACUAAGAGUUCCAGUGGCUUCCGCGUCUGCUCUGGGUUCACAAACACCACGACCGCUUAACAAACACUGAUGAGAUGCUGACCACCUGUGAGCACAGGAGAAGUCCAGGUGAUGGCGGUGGCCUUCUUACAAAGGCUUCCUUAAGGGGACUUGGGGGGGGGGGGUCACAACAGACCCUAGAAGGAGUCAUCGAUGACCGGAGCAGAGGCACCCCCAGGAACUCCUUGCUAGGCAGGGACCCCAGAGUUCAGGAGCGCAGUCAGCAAGGGCUGUGGCUGGGAGCUGCUCCCUGAGAGCAACUCUGCCAGUCACGUGUUUAUGACAAUCAGGAGACGGGAUUGUCACCCACUGAGACAGCUGUCCUACUGCCUCAGGGGACAUGCAAAGGGAAAACUGGGGGCUCUGUCUCCUGUUCUGGCCAAGAACGUGUGCUUGGGAAUCAGACAGGCCAGCCCCAAUUCUAACAUUGCUUCUCAUUGUGUGGUUUGGGACCAAAAAAAAAUGACUCAGUUUCCUUAACCCCAAUGUCCUUGGCUAUAAAGUCAAGAUAAUAAUUCUGGGGCACCUGGAGGCUCAGUUGGUUAAGUGUCUGACUCUUAGUUUGGGCUCAGGUCAUGAUCUCAAGGUCCAUGGGAUUGAGCCCCGUCUCAGGCUAUACACCGACAGCUCAGAGCCCGCUUCGGAUCCUCUGUGUUCCCAUCUCUCUCUGCCCCUCCCAUGCUUGUGCAUGCUCUCUCUCCCUCUCUCUCUCUCAAAAAUAAAUAAACUUAAACGUAUUUUUUAAAAUUCUUACCUUAUAUGAUGGUUUUAGUAAAUUUUUAUAUCUUACUUAAUGCUGUCAUUUGGGUUUCAAUUUCUACUUUUUAUUUUUUUUGAGAGAGACAGAAAGAGAGCACGAGUGAGGGGAGGGGCAGAGAAAGAGGGAGAAUCCCAAGCAGGCUCUGCACUGUCAGCACAGAGCCUGAUGCAGGGUUCGAACUCACUCACGAACUGUGAGAUCAUGAGCUGAGCCGAAAUCAAGAGUCAGAUUUCUAACCGACUGAGCCAUCCAGCUGCUCCAAUAUUCCUUUUGUUUUUUUAAACUUUAUUUAUUUUGAGACAGAGAGAGAGAGAGAGAGAGAGAGAGAGAGAGCAGGAGCAGAGGAGGGGCAGAGAGAGAGGAGGAGGAGAGAGAGAAUCCCAAGCAGGCUCUGCACAGUCAGCCCAGAGCCCGAUGCAGGGUUCGAACUGACAAACCAUGAGAUCAUGACCUGAGCCGAAACCAAGAGUCAGACACUUAACCGACUGAGCCACCCAGGUGCCCUGUACUGUUUCCAUGUUCCAUUGCAACAUCAUAAACCACCCCAAACUCAGCGAUGUAACGCAAACACCAUUUUAUUACGUGUUAUUAUCUUUGCAGCCUGCGUGGGUCAGUAACGCAGACAUGGCACGUAACCAGAGUUAUCCCAGCGUCUUGUCAUCAGAGCCAUCCUGGCCCCUGUCUGAGUGAUGCUCUAGCAGCGGGCAUGGGAACCAAUAUGGAAGAAAGGUGAGUGAAGGAAGGAAAGAAGCUCCCUGGGGGUCUAGGUAUGGAGUCUCCUUCAUUUCGGGGACACGGGCUAUGAAAGAGAGUGUGGCACCCCCCUGCCCGGGCAGCCUUACCUGGCUUCCUGGGGUGGCCAGCCCAGGAGGCAGCUGCCUCAUGGGCUCCAGGUAGAGCAGCAGAGCGAACGCGGGCCUGUGGCGUCUUCAGUCCCAAGAGCUGCUACGUGUCAUCAGUGUUUACUCUGUUACACUCUUGUUUGUCCUUGUGGCUUGUCACACCACAAGUGAUGUAGUUGUCCACUCGGGUGCUUCAUGGAAAGCACCCAGAAACAGGAACAGCAUCACGGGGCCAGCCUCCCACACAGAAGCCCGUGGCCGACCCCAGAUAUCCACGAGCGAGGGAGAGCUGUGUCAUCGCGUGCUUUACCGUUUCCGGAGGAGUAGCCUUCCCGAGCAGGGAAGGCGCAGGAGGAAGCCUUCAAACACUGGGUGAGACUAGAACAGGGGCAUCAGGUCUCAAGUGAGACCUUGAGCCGUCACCCUCCCCUCCAGUGCCCGGUGGGGACGCCGGCCUGCAACAGAGCUUGGGCGUUUUGGGCGAUGCGCGUGACAUCCUGUUAUGCUGUUUGUCCUGCGUUUGAAAAAGACCUGUGUGUGCAUACGAUAAUAGCAACACUUUGCUUUGGGGAACGUUUUCAGGAAUCUGGUCACCCACAUCCGUGGCUGGCACGUUCAUCGAAUGUCCCGAAGAAUCUCUCCAACACUCGAGCCAACAUGCCCGCACCAGCUGCAAAAG
This 7582-nucleotide long non-coding RNA is filed under the name Lynx pardinus (Iberian lynx). Lineage: Eukaryota; Metazoa; Chordata; Mammalia; Carnivora; Felidae. The record is from RNAcentral.